This 387-nucleotide ribosomal RNA is filed under the name uncultured bacterium. Its description in RNAcentral is "bacterial SSU rRNA". It matches the Rfam family "Bacterial small subunit ribosomal RNA", at positions 28 to 414 of the family's 1533-position model. The record is from RNAcentral.
GACGAACGCUGGCGGCGUGCUUAACACAUGCAAGUCGAGCGGUAAGGCCCUUUCGGGGGUACGACGAGCGGCGAACGGGUGAGUAACACGUGGGUGACCUGCCCUCAGCUCUGGGAUAAGCCUGGGAAACCGGGUCUAAUACUGGAUAUGACUCCAUGACGCAUGUUGUGGGGUGGAAAGCCUUGUGCGGCUGAGGAUGGGCCCGCGGCCUAUCAGCUUGUUGGUGGGGUGANGGCCUACCAAGGCGACGACGGGUAGCCGGCCUGAGAGGGCGACCGGCCACACUGGGACUGAGACACGGCCCAGACUCCUACGGGAGGCAGCAGUGGGGAAGUCUUGCGCAAUGGGCGAAAGCCUGACGCAGCGACGCCGCGUGAGGGAUGACGG